AUGGAGGCCUCGGAUAAAACUUUUGCUGAUGUAGUUAAGCUUUUGACAUCAUGGCUGCCUCGACGGUCGAAACCAGACAAUGUCUCGAGGGACUUCUGGAUGCCUGAUCAUAGUUGCCGAGUGUGUUAUGACUGUGAUGCACAAUUCACCAUAUUCAACCGAAGGCACCAUUGUCGUCGUUGUGGGCGCAUAUUCUGUGGUAAGUGCACAGGGAAUUCCGUCCCAGUUCCAAGUGGCCCUGAUAAAAGCGAUGAUGAGGGGGACAGGAUUCGUGUCUGCAACUUUUGCUUUAAGCAAUGGGAGCAAGAGCAAAUUGCUGCUGUCAAACAGAUACUGCCGGUGCUCAGUCCUUCCCUGUCUGAGGCGAGCCUGUUCAGUACAAAGUCAACUAUCACCAUUAAUAGUGUUAGCACACCAGCUGCAUCUUACUCUACUGGAAAUUAUCAGCAUGUGGCUCAUGCUUCCAGCAUUGGUCCUGUCCCUCCCAAAUUUUCCCAAGACAAAGUUUCCCACAGUAUGCAAGACAGCCAUGUGCCUGAGAUAAGUAUGUCCACUAUUUCAAACAGAGAUGACUCUACCUUGAUGCAGUUUGGCUAUUACACGAACAGGAGUGACGACGAAGAUGAAGAGUUUGGUGCUUACUUCUCUGACAGGCAGGUGCAACAUGAACAGCAUAAUAACCAAUACUUCCGCUCAGUUGAGUUUGAUGAGUUCAGUGCAUCGUACAAUACAACAAUAUCAAAGACUAUUGAAGUAAAUGUAAUUCCAAAAGAGUUAUCAGCUUGUGCUGCUGACCACGGAUUCCCCAGUACAUUGCCAGUCACCAAAGUGGAGGAUGAACCAGAACUUGAUAAUAGUUCAGACUGCGGGGCUGCGUCGUCCAUUUAUGCUCUGGAAACUGCCGAUACAAAUUCAGUGGAUUUUGAGAAGAAUGAUUAUUUUUGGAUUCCUCCAGAACCAGAAGAUAAAGAAGAUGAGCUAGAAACUGAUUUGUUUGAUGACGACGAUGACGAUGAUGAGCCUGUAUCUGAUGGUGGACGGUGUUACCUUCAAUCAUCAAGUAGCUUCGGUAGUGGAGAAUUUCGAAGUAGAGACCGCUCAACUGAAGAACACAAGAAAGUAAUGAAGAAUGUUGUUGACGGACAUUUCAGGGCUUUGAUUUCUCAGUUGUUGCAGGUGGAGAAUAUCACAUUAGAGGAAGGUGAUGACAUGGGUUGGUUGGAGAUUGUUACUUCGGUAUCAUGGGAAGCUGCAAACUUCCUCAGACCAGACACAAGCCAAGGUGGUGGCAUGGAUCCUGGUGGAUAUGUCAAAGUUAAGUGUUUAGCAAGUGGACACCGCAGUGAAAGCACUGUUGUGAAAGGAGUAGUCUGUAAGAAGAAUGUCGCACAUAGGCGCAUGACUUCCAGAAUAGAAAAACCUCGCCUUCUUCUACUUGCUGGAGCUCUUGAGUAUCAUCGAGUUACAAAUCAGCUGUCAAGUAUUGACACAUUGCUCCAGCAGGAAACAGAUCACCUUAAAAUGGCGGUUGCGAAGAUUGUAGCUCAAAAACCUAACCUACUUUUGGUCGAGAAUACUGUUUCUCGCUAUGCUCAAGAUUUGCUUCUAGAAAAGAACAUAUCACUAGUUUUAAAUAUUAAGCAAUCCCUCUUGCAGCGUAUAGCUCGUUGCACAGGUGCUCAGAUAGUUCCUUCCAUUGAUCUCUUGCCAUCUCAGAAACUUGGUUAUUGUGAGUUGUUUCAUGUAGACAAACAUAUUGAACAUUCCGUGACUUUGGGUAAUAAGACUAAGAAAAUGCUGAAGAACAUGAUGUUUUUUGAAGGAUGCGCAAAGCCAUUAGGUUGCACUGUUCUGUUGAAAGGUGGCAGCAUGGAUGAGCUAAAGAAAAUUAAGCAUGUUGUCCAGUAUGGCAUAUUUGCAGCAUAUCACUUGGCCUUAGAAACAUCUUUCCUUGCAGAUGAAGGUGCCACUCUGCCAGAACUUCCCUUGAGGUCUCCACUGACUGUAACCUUACCACAUAAGCGAUCUACUGUAGACAACUCUAUUUCAACGGUGCCAGGUUUCACAAUUAAUAUUUCCAACAGCCAACAGGCAACUGAUAGAUUUGAGCACCUGGACACAGACAUUGUUAUAUCAACUGACCCAGGUGGAACAGCUGUGGUUGAACCACCAGUAGACAGUGAUUGCCUUACUUCUCAAAAGGCCAACUCUCAUUCUUUUGGACAAUUGUGUACCAGUGGUUGUAGCUCUAACAGCAGUAAUGGUGAUAAAUUAGAGAAGGUGACUGCAAUUGCAGAUUCUGUAUCCAUGUCUUCAAUCACUACGCAUGUACCCACGGAUCCUUCACAUAUAUAUUCUACUGUAGAAAAAAAGUGUGUGUAUUCUAGUGAUUACCAUGCUGAUUAUCCAACCAGUUCAGAUGGUAAGACAGUGAGAGCAGAUUCAAUCAACACAAACCAUCAUCAGAGCACAUCUGCAGUCAGCACAAAUAUUACUAAUUAUUCUAAUCUCAAGGAGCCAUUAGAGGGUUCAAAUGCUUUGCCUAAUGUGAGAAUGGUCAAUGCUAAUAAUUUGUUGGUAGUGCAACCAAUGUCUAGUCCUGCAGUGCAAAAUCAAGAAACCAGUCAAGGACAUGAUGCCACAUCAAAUAAGACAGAAAUUGUGCCUUCUGACCAUCAGAGCAUCUUAGUCUCUUUGUCCAUACGUUGUGUAUGGAAAAGAUCUAUUUGUGAGCGUUCCCAGUUGUUACGCAUCAAGUAUUAUGGUAACUUUGACAAGCCUCUAGGAAGGUUUUUGCGUGACUACCUGUUUGAUCAGGGCUAUCAGUGCCGAUCCUGUGAUAAGCCACCUGAAGCUCAUGUCCAUUGCUACACUCAUCGCCAGGGGAGUCUAACAAUAUCAGUUAGAAAACUUGCAGAUGUUGUUUUGCCAGGAGAACGGGAUGGAAAAAUUUGGAUGUGGCAUAGGUGUCUAAAGUGCCCCUGGAGUGAUGGAUUUCCACCAGCUACUCAUAGGAUUGUCAUGUCUGAUGCUGCUUGGGGUUUGUCACUUGGUAAAUUUUUGGAGCUUAGCUUCUCAAAUCAUGCAGCUGCAAGUAGGGUAGCCAGUUGUGGUCAUUCUCUCCAUAGGGACUGCCUUCGGUUCUAUGGGUUUGGAAAAAUGGUGGCUUGCUUCCGAUAUGCACCUAUUAAUGUUCAUUCAGUCCAUGUACCACCUCAUAAACUUUAUUUUACUCACCAGCCUUUGGACUGGAUACAGAAAGAAGUAAACGAGGUUAUUGACCGGGCAAAGGUUCUGUUUGAUGAAGUAUCACGUACUUUACACCUGAUCUCCGAGAAAAAGGCUCACUGCAGUUCUCUCAAUGUGGAAUGUACCAAUUACAUUGCUGAACUUGAAAGCAUGUUUCGGAAGGAAAAGUUAGAAUUUGAGGGAUGUCUGAAUAAAGUUUUUAAAAAGGAAGUGCCGAAAUGUCAACCAGACAUUCUCGAGAUUAAUAGGCUGAGGAGACAGUUACUCUUCCAUUCAUACUUGUGGGAUCAAAGGCUGUUAUUUGCUGCAAGAUCAGAUAGGAAUCGCCAUGAACUAUCUAAUACCAGGCAAGGCGAUAAGGAGACAAUCCAUUCCGUGGAUGGUGGUGCUGAUCCAAAUGUCACAGAACAGCCUCAAAGAGAAAAUAGUGGCAGUGUGGCUGCUAAUAAAGAUGUUAAAUAUGCUGAAAACCUCCAGGUAAGCAUUUGUGGACAGAAUUGCAGCGGAGUUGAUCCAAGUAAUAGUUACUGUAAUCUUGACCAGCGGAUACCGACAAGUGAGUCGGAUUUCCUCCAAACAAAUAUCCAAACACCUUUGUACAGCAGCGUCAGUGUGAAUGGGGAUUCAGUUCCUUUUGAGCCUGAUCUUGUUGCUCGACGAACCCUUUCAGAAGGGCAGUUUCCCAGUUUAUUGGAUGUGUCAAAUGCACUGGAUGCAAAAUGGACUGGUGAGAAUGAUCCUGUCACUAGCAAGGUAACAUUGCCAGAUUCUAUGGCAUCGUCAGAGGACUCAGAAGAACAUAUCAGCGAUACUACACCUUCGUAUGCCUCUGUAUUGCUGAAUAAGCUAGGGGAUAGUGCAGAGGACCAUUCCAAUUGGAUAGGAAUGCCUUUUUUACAAUUGUACCGUUCUCUUAACAAGAAGUGGAGUCGUUCAAAAAGGUUUGAUGCGCUCAUUGAAUAUACACCUGUUUAUAUUUCUUUCUUAAGGGCAGUGGAGCGACAGAUUGGGCCCAAAUUUCUCUUUCCUAUAGGGAUCAAUGACACUGUUAUUGGAGUAUACGAUGAUGAACCUACUAGCAUCAUCUCGUAUGCACUUGCCUCUCAUGAAUACCAUCUUCAGCUGUCAGAUGAGCUGGAAAGAGAAGCAACAGAUACUUCACCCCCACUUUGUGAUUCAAGAAGUGUGUCCUUAACUGAAUCAGUGGAUGAAACUACUUCUGAACUUCUAAGAACUGUUGUGUCAACAGACGACAAUAUUGUCUCCAUUCCAGGAAGCAAGAACCCAUCCACUUCGGAUCCACUUGUAUAUGGUAAAGUAACUCACAUAAAGGUUAAUUUUGGAGAUGAAGGUCCUCUAGAACAAGUGAAGUACACAGUAAUUUGUUACUAUGCGAAACAAUUCGAUGCAUUGAGGAGAAUAUGCUGUCCAUCAGAGCGUGACUUUGUCAGGUCACUAAGUCGUUGCAAGAAAUGGGGUGCUCAAGGAGGCAAGAGUAAUGUUUUCUUUGCAAAAUCACUGGAUGACAGGUUCAUAAUUAAACAGGUUACCAAAACGGAAUUGGAGUCUUUCAUGAAAUUUGCUCCAGACUAUUUUAAAUAUCUGUCCGAGUCAAUUUGCACUGGCAGUCCUACUUGCAUUGCAAAAAUUCUUGGUAUUUAUCAGGUUAAGAGCCUGAAAGGUGGAAAGGAGGUGAGGAUGGAUGUUCUGGCCAUGGAAAAUCUUUUAUUUGAACGUCGUGUGACAAGAUUAUAUGAUUUGAAGGGCUCAACAAGAUCAAGAUAUAACCCUGAUUCAAAUGGUAGCGAUAAAGUACUUCUUGACGAGAACUUGCUUGAAGCGAUGCCUACUUCCCCUAUUUUUGUCGGGAAUAAGGCAAAGCGGCUUCUGGAGAGAGCUGUUUGGAACGAUACUGCAUUCCUUGCUUCUAUUGACGUAAUGGAUUACUCUUUACUUGUCGGUGUUGAUGAGAAGAAGCACGAGCUUGUUAUGGGAAUCAUUGAUUUUAUGAGGCAAUAUACAUGGGACAAACAUCUAGAAACAUGGGUGAAAGCUUCAGGAAUAUUAGGUGGACCAAAGAAUGUAUCACCAACUGUAAUUUCACCAAAGCAGUACAAAAAGCGUUUCAGGAAAGCUAUGUCAGCCUACUUUCUUGUUGUCCCAGAUCAAUGGUCGCCUGCAGCAAUUAUCCCUAGCAAGCAAGUGGCUGACAGCGGCCAGGAUAGCGAUCAGUUCGUCUCCACGGGAUCAUCAUCCUUGCUGGACCGUUGA
RNAcentral lists this ribosomal RNA (5520 nucleotides) under Triticum aestivum (bread wheat). RNAcentral's name for it is "partial small subunit ribosomal RNA". Lineage: Eukaryota; Viridiplantae; Streptophyta; Magnoliopsida; Poales; Poaceae. The record is from RNAcentral.